GGAUGCGAUCAUACCAGCACUAAAGCACCGGAUCCCAUCAGAACUCCGAAGUUAAGCGUGCUUGGGCGAGAGCAGUACUAGGAUGGGUGACCUCCUGGGAAGUCCUCGUGUUGCAUUCC
Molecule: ribosomal RNA, 119 nt
Filed under: Triticum aestivum (bread wheat)
Lineage: Eukaryota; Viridiplantae; Streptophyta; Magnoliopsida; Poales; Poaceae
Source: RNAcentral